This 826-nucleotide ribosomal RNA is filed under the name uncultured Acidobacteriaceae bacterium. RNAcentral describes it as "bacterial SSU rRNA". It matches the Rfam family "Bacterial small subunit ribosomal RNA", at positions 8 to 812 of the family's 1533-position model. Lineage: Bacteria; Pseudomonadati; Acidobacteriota; Terriglobia; Terriglobales; Acidobacteriaceae. The record is from RNAcentral.
AGAGUUUGAUCCUGGCUCAGAACGAACGCUGGCGGCGUGCCUAACACAUGCAAGUCGUACGCGAAAGGGGGCAACCCCCGGUAGCGUGGCAGACGGGUGAGUAACACGUGGGCAACCUGCCCGGAGGUGGGGGAUAACCCUUCGAAAGGAGGGCUAAUACCGCAUGAUAUCCCGGAGUCUUCGGAUUCCGGGAUCAAAGCUGGCCUCUACUUGUAAGCUAGCGCCACCGGAGGGGCCCGCGCCCCAUUAGCUAGUUGGUGAGGUAACGGCUCACCAAGGCUACGAUGGGUAGCCGGCCUGAGAGGGCGACCGGCCACACUGGAACUGCGACACGGUCCAGACUCCUACGGGAGGCAGCAGUGGGGAAUCUUGCGCAAUGGGCGAAAGCCUGACGCAGCGACGCCGCGUGGAGGAUGAAGGUCUUCGGAUCGUAAACUCCUGUCGAGCGGGACGAAGUCCGGGAGGGUGAAUAAUCCUUUCGGUUGACGGUACCGCUGGAGGAAGCCCCGGCUAACUCCGUGCCAGCAGCCGCGGUAAUACGGAGGGGGCCAGCGUUGUUCGGAAUCAUUGGGCGUAAAGGGCGCGUAGGCGGCCACGCAAGUCGGAUGUGAAAUCCCUCGGCUCAACCGAGGAACUGCACCCGAAACUGCGAGGCUCGAGUCCUGGAGAGGGUAGUGGAAUUCCCAGUGUAGCGGUGAAAUGCGUAGAUACUGGGAGGAACACCGGUGGCGAAGGCGGCUAUCUGGACAGGUACUGACGCUGAGGCGCGAAAGCCAGGGGAGCAAACAGGAUUAGAUACCCUGGUAGUCCUGGCUGUAAACGAUGG